This 123-nucleotide ribosomal RNA is filed under the name Takifugu rubripes (torafugu). Lineage: Eukaryota; Metazoa; Chordata; Actinopteri; Tetraodontiformes; Tetraodontidae. The record is from RNAcentral.
GCUUACGGCCAUACCACCCUGAGAACGCCCGAUCUCGUCCGAUCUCGGAAGCUAAGCAGGGUCGGGCCUGGUUAGUACUUGGAUGGGAGAGACCGCCUGGGAAUACCAAGGGUGCUGUAAGCU